AAUAUUUUUUUUAUAAAUAAUUAAUUAUUGAUUAAAUAAUAAAUUUUUAAAAAUAAAAAAAAAUUAAAUUUAUUGAUUUAAAAAACUUUCCAAAAAACUAGGAUUAGAUACCCUACUAUUAAAAAAAAAAUUUAAAAUUUAAAUAUUAAAUAUUAAUUUAUUAAAUUUAAAAAAAUUGACGGUAUUUUUUAUUAGAUAAACUUGAAAUUUAAUUUGUUAAUUCACAAUUCAACCAACUAAUUUAAAAUUUUUAUAUAUUACUGUUUAAAUUUAAUUUUUUUAAUUAAAAUUCCUUUUUAUUUUAAUAAUUUAAUUCAAGUCUAAAUAUAAAUUUAAAUUAGAAUAUUUUAGUUUCUUUAAAAUAUAACUUAAUUAAAUAUUAAAUUUAAUUUUUAAAAAUAUUUAUAUAUUAUCUAAAAAUUAAUAUGUUAGAAUUUAAAAAUAAAAAUUUUUAAAUAAAAAUUUUAAAAACUAUAAUUAAAUAUGUACAUAUAGCCCGUCAUUUUUAUGUUAAAAAUUUUAUUUUUAAUAUAAAACAAGUCGAAACAAAGUAAUUUUACUGGAAAGUAACAUUAGAAUU
Molecule: ribosomal RNA, 580 nt
Filed under: Microgaster sp. SNS-2016
Lineage: Eukaryota; Metazoa; Arthropoda; Insecta; Hymenoptera; Braconidae
Description: 12S ribosomal RNA
Source: RNAcentral